GAUGAACGCUAGCUACAGGCUUAACACAUGCAAGUCGAGGGGCAGCAUGAACUUAGCUUGCUAAGUUUGAUGGCGACCGGCGCACGGGUGAGUAACACGUAUCCAACCUGCCGAUGACUCGGGGAUAGCCUUUCGAAAGAAAGAUUAAUACCCGAUGGCAUAGUUCUUCCGCAUGGUAGAACUAUUAAAGAAUUUCGGUCAUCGAUGGGGAUGCGUUCCAUUAGGUUGUUGGCGGGGUAACGGCCCACCAAGCCUUCGAUGGAUAGGGGUUCUGAGAGGAAGGUCCCCCACAUUGGAACUGAGACACGGUCCAAACUCCUACGGGAGGCAGCAGUGAGGAAUAUUGAUCAAUGGACGAGAGUCUGAACCAGCCAAGUAGCGUGAAGGAUGACUGCCCUAUGGGUUGUAAACUUCUUUUAUACGGGAAUAAAGUGAGGCACGUGUGCCUUUUUGUAUGUACCGUAUGAAUAAGGAUCGGCUAACUCCGUG
Molecule: ribosomal RNA, 489 nt
Filed under: uncultured bacterium
Lineage: Bacteria
Description: partial 16S ribosomal RNA
Rfam family: Bacterial small subunit ribosomal RNA
Source: RNAcentral